Molecule: RNA transcript, 1041 nt
Organism: Bacillus rossius redtenbacheri
Lineage: Eukaryota; Metazoa; Arthropoda; Insecta; Phasmatodea; Bacillidae
Exons: 3
Source: RefSeq, a predicted model, not a curated record
CAAAGUAUUUCAUUUCCAUUUCAUAUAUUUUUCAGGAACUGUAUCAAAGUCAUGGCAGGACAAGAGUCUACAAUCUGCGAAGAGACGUACUGUUGGAGAUGGUAAAAGGUUUAUUGUUGUUAAUGCUGGAGGGCGCACUGGCUUUGUGCCAGGAGCAGGAUUACUUUUUGUUUCAGGUCAGAAGACUGCAGACUACCAUGGCGAGAUGAAUGGGGAAACUUUCUUGAUGUGGUUUGAAGACAUGUUGGUGCAUCUGGAGGAACCCAGUGUCAUUAUAAUGGACAAUGCUUCAUAUCACAGCACCCAGGUUGAGAAAACACCUACAACGAACUGGACCAAGGAUGCACUGAUCGCGUGGCUGGAGAAGAAUGAGAUAAAACAUGAAAAUAAUUUUCUGAAAGUGGAGCUGCUGAGAAUAGCUAAACAAAACAAGCCCCGAAUACGGUAUAUUAUUUCGUUUUUUUUACAGCAUUUCUUUAAAAGUGAGAUAGUUGCAAAAAAUUACGUAUACGCCUUGUUCUAACACACUUUUCAGAUAUGAGGUAGACGAGUUGGCUUGUAACUAUGGCCACAAAAUUCUACGACUCCCACCCUAUCACUGCCACUAUAAUGCAAUCGAACUAGUUUGGGCUCAAUGUAAACACCAUUACAAUAGUAACGUGGGGCGGGCCAAGAGAUUUGACAAUGAUGCAGUUGCAGCCAUCUGGAAAGAGGCUCUUGAUGCUUCCACACCAGAGAGAUGGGCGAGGUGUGUGGAUCACGUGGAGAAGCUAAUUCAAGCAGACUGGGAGAGAGAAAUCCACAUAGACAGCGGCACCAUUCCUCCACUCAUCAUCCACCUCGGCGAGGAUAGUUCAAGUGAAGACAGUGACAGCGAAGAAUUUGAGGUUACGACACAGCAAGUAGAUGGAGACAGUGAAGUACUGGCAGUUCCUCUUGAUGAUUUACCCGGGUGUUCUUAUUGAGGUCUGUAUGUAAUAAACACCUGGGCAACUGUAAGUAUUGGGGUUUGAAACAUUUUUUUUUCUUUUAUGCAUUCCC